RNAcentral lists this ribosomal RNA (350 nucleotides) under uncultured bacterium. Its description in RNAcentral is "bacterial SSU rRNA". It matches the Rfam family "Bacterial small subunit ribosomal RNA", at positions 110 to 493 of the family's 1533-position model. The record is from RNAcentral.
GUAACACGUGGGAACUUACCCUUUAGACUGGGACAACCACUGGAAACGGUGGCUAAUACCGGAUACGCCCUGAGGGGGAAAGCAGAAAUGCGCUAAGGGAGAGGCCCGCGGCAGAUUAGGUAGUUGGUGGGGUAAAGGCCUACCAAGCCUGUGAUCUGUAGCUGGUUUGAGAGGAUGAUCAGCCACACUGGGACUGAGACACGGCCCAGACUCCUACGGGAGGCAGCAGUGGGGAAUAUUGGACAAUGGGGGAAACCCUGAUCCAGCAAUGCCGCGUGAAUGAAGAAGGCCUUAGGGUUGUAAAGUUCUUUUGUCCGUGACGAUAAUGACGGUAGCGGACGAAUAAGCCC